Molecule: ribosomal RNA, 465 nt
Filed under: uncultured bacterium
Lineage: Bacteria
Description: partial 16S ribosomal RNA
Rfam family: Bacterial small subunit ribosomal RNA
Source: RNAcentral
GACGAACGCUGGCGGCGUGCUUAACACAUGCAAGUCGAACGGAAAGGCCCUGCUUGCAGGGUACUCGCGUGGCGAAAGGGUGAGUAACACGUGGGUGUAAUGCCCUGCACUUCGGGAUAAGCCUGGAAAACUGGGUCUAUUACAGGAUAUGACAUUUCAUGUAGCGUGGGGGGUGGAAGGAUUUAUCGGUGUGGGAUGAGCCCGCGGCCUAUCAGCUUGUUGGUGGGGUAAUGGCCUACCAAGGCGUCGACGGGUAGCCGGCCUGAGAGGGUGGACGGCCACAUUGGGACUGAGAUACGGCCCAGACUCCUACGGGAGGCAGCAGUGGGGAAUAUUGCACAAUGGGCGGAAGCCUGAUGCAGCGACGCCGCGUGGGGGAUGACGGCCUUCGGGUUGUAAACCGCUUUCGACAGGGACGAAGCGUCGGUGACGGUACCUGGAUAAGAAGCACCGGCUAACUACGUG